This 174-nucleotide microRNA precursor is filed under the name Triticum aestivum (bread wheat). Its description in RNAcentral is "MIR2118 microRNA precursor family". It matches the Rfam family "MIR2118 microRNA precursor family". The record is from Rfam by way of RNAcentral. Lineage: Eukaryota; Viridiplantae; Streptophyta; Magnoliopsida; Poales; Poaceae.
GCCGGGAAGAAAACAAAAGAGAGAGCUCGAGAGCAAUAGGAAUGGGAAUAUAGAGGAAGGUCCUCCUUGUUUGUUUGCACCUCUAGUGUUGGGGUGCAAAUAUUUGGCAUGAAUCCUUUCCUCAUGGCUCCCAUUCUUACCGUUCUUGUGCACUCCUUCCUCUUCCUUUUGGCU